Bombyx mori (domestic silkworm) is the source of this 84-nucleotide non-coding RNA. The record is from Rfam. Lineage: Eukaryota; Metazoa; Arthropoda; Insecta; Lepidoptera; Bombycidae.
CUAACUCAAAUUUGUAGGGAGUUGGAACGUUUGCCUAUGUUUGUCGCUAGGGGCACUGUUCCAGCUGCAUACAAAUUUCAGGUA